This 476-nucleotide ribosomal RNA is filed under the name uncultured bacterium. RNAcentral describes it as "bacterial SSU rRNA". It matches the Rfam family "Bacterial small subunit ribosomal RNA", at positions 335 to 803 of the family's 1533-position model. The record is from RNAcentral.
ACUCCUACGGGAGGCAGCAGUGGGGAAUAUUGCACAAUGGGCGCAAGCCUGAUGCAGCCAUGCCGCGUGUAUGAAGAAGGCCUUCGGGUUGUAAAGUACUUUCUAGUCGUGAGGAAGGCGGCGUCGUUAAUAGCGGCGUUGUUUGUACGUUAGCGACAGAAGAAGCACCGGCUAACUCCGUGCCAGCAGCCGCGGUAAUACGGAGGGUGCGAGCGUUAAUCGGAAUUACUGGGCGUAAAGCGCAUGCAGGUGGUUUGUUAAGUCAGAUGUGAAAGCCCGGGGCGUCAACCUCGGAAUAGCAUUUGAAACUGGCAGACUAGAGUACUGUAGAGGGGGUUAGGAAUUUCAGGUGUAGCGGUGAAAUGCGUAGAGAUCUGAAGGAAUACCGGUGGCGAAGGCGGCCCCUGGACAGAUACUGACACUCAGAUGCGAAAGCGUGGGAGCAAACAGGAUUAGAUACCCCUGGUAGCGACUGA